GAAGGUGUAGCUCAGUGGUAGAGUGCAUGCUUGCAUGCAUAAGGUCCUGGGUUCAAUCCCUAGUACCUGUA
This 71-nucleotide transfer RNA is filed under the name Camelus bactrianus (Bactrian camel). It matches the Rfam family "tRNA". From Rfam's summary of the family: Transfer RNA (tRNA) molecules are approximately 80 nucleotides in length. Their secondary structure includes four short double-helical elements and three loops (D, anti-codon, and T loops). Lineage: Eukaryota; Metazoa; Chordata; Mammalia; Artiodactyla; Camelidae. RNAcentral also lists the same sequence under 2 other names. The record is from Rfam by way of RNAcentral.